This 1249-nucleotide ribosomal RNA is filed under the name uncultured prokaryote. RNAcentral's name for it is "partial 16S ribosomal RNA". It matches the Rfam family "Bacterial small subunit ribosomal RNA", at positions 59 to 1345 of the family's 1533-position model. The record is from RNAcentral.
AAGUCAAGGGGUAGCAAUACCACUGGCGCACGGGUGAGUAACGCGUAGAUAAUCUGCCCCUAUCUCCGGAAUAACAUCAAGAAAUUGGUGCUAAAAACGGAUGAGGCACAAUGUGUCAAAGGAAACGGAUAGGGAUGAGCCUGCGGCUGAUUAGCUAGUUGGUGAGGUAAUGGCUCACCAAGGCGACGAUCAGUAGCUGGUCUGAGAGGACGAACAGCCACACUGGAACUGAGACACGGUCCAGACUCCUACGGGAGGCAGCAGUGAGGAAUUUUGCACAAUGGAGGAAACUCUGAUGCAGCGACGCCGCGUGCGGGAUGAAGGGGCUUUGCCCUGUAAACCGCUGUCGGAUGGGAAAAAAAGUCCCCUCGGGGACCCGGGACGGUACUAUCAGAGGAAGGACCGGCUAACUACGUGCCAGCAGCCGCGGUAAUACGUAGGGUCCAAGCGUUAUCCGGAAUUACUGGGUAUAAAGGGUGCGCAGGCGGUUUUUCACGUCUGGGGUUAAAUAUCACGGCUCAACCGUGAAGAUGCCUCGGAAACGGGAGAACUUGAAUAUGAGAGAGGUAAGUGGAAUUCCUGGUGUAGCGGUGAAAUGCGUAGAUAUCAGGAGGAACACCAGUGGCGAAGGCGGCUUACUGGCUCAUUAUUGACGCUCAGGCACGAAAGUGUGGGUAGCAAACAGGAUUAGAUACCCUGGUAGUCCACACCCUAAACGAUGUAUGCUUGGUGUUAUGGCCGUUAGGUUGUAGUGCCGGAGAAAAUUCGUUAAGCAUACCACCUGGGGAGUACGAUCGCAAGGUUGAAACUCAAAGGAAUUGACGGGGGCCCGCACAAGCGGUGGAUCAUGUGGUUUAAUUCGAUGCAACGCGAAGAACCUUACCUGGGCUUGAAGUGCAGAUGACCGCUGUCGAAAGAUAGUUUUCCUUCGGGACAUCUGUAUAGGUGCUGCAUGGCUGUCGUCAGCUCGUGCCGUGAGGUGUUGGGUUAAGUCCCGCAACGAGCGCAACCCCUAUCUUUAGUUGCCAGCACGUAAUGGUGGGAACUCUAAAGAGACUGCCCGCGUAAGCGGAGAGGAAGGUGGGGACGACGUCAAGUCAUCAUGGCCCUUAUGUCCAGGGCUACACACGUGAUACAAUGGCAUACACAAAGGGCGAAGCCGCAAGGUGGAGGAAAUCCAUAAAGUAUGUCUCAGUUCGGAUUGAAGUCUGCAACUCGACUUCAUGAAGUUGGAAUCGCUAGUAAUCGU